GUAAACGGCGGCCGUAACUAUAACGGUCCUAAGGUAGCGAAAUUCCUUGUCGGGUAAGUUCCGACCUGCACGAAUGGUGUAACCAUGGCCACGCUGUCUCCACCCGAGACUCAGUGAAAUUGAAAUCGCAGUGAAGAUGCUGUGUACCCGCGGCUAGACGGAAAGACCCCGUGAACCUUUACUACAGCUUGGCACUGAACAUUGAACCUACAUGUGUAGGAUAGGUGGGAGACUUUGAAGCAGCGACGCUAGUUGUUGUGGAGUCGUCCUUGAAAUACCACCCUUGUAGUUUUGAUGUUCUAACGUUGGCCCCUGAAUCGGGGUUACGGACAGUGCCUGGUGGGUAGUUUGACUGGGGCGGUCUCCUCCCAAAGAGUAACGGAGGAGCACGAAGGUUGGCUAAGUACGGUCGGACAUCGUACGGUUAGUGUAAUGGUAGAAGCCAGCUUAACUGCGAGACAGACACGUCGAGCAGGUACGAAAGUAGGUCAUAGUGAUCCGGUGGUUCUGAAUGGAAGGGCCAUCGCUCAACGGAUAAAAGGUACUCCGGGGAUAACAGGCUGAUACCGCCCAAGAGUUCAUAUCGACGGCGGUGUUUGGCACCUCGAUGUCGGCUCAUCACAUCCUGGGGCUGAAGUCGGUCCCAAGGGUAUGGCUGUUCGCCAUUUAAAGUGGUACGCGAGCUGGGUUUAGAACGUCGUGAGACAGUUCGGUCCCUAUCUGCCGUGGGCGUUUGAGAAUUGAGAGGGGUUGCUCCUAGUACGAGAGGACCGGAGUGAACGAACCGCUGGUGUUCGGGUUGUCAUGCCAAUGGCAUUGCCCGGUAGCUACGUUCGGAACUGAUAAGCGCUGAAAGCAUCUAAGCGCGAAGCAGGCCUCGAGAUGAUUUCUCACUAGACUUUUAAAGUCUCUGAAGGGCCGUUGAAGACUACAACGUUGAUAGGCAAGAUGUGGAAGUGGUGUGAGCCAUUAAGCUAACUUGUACUAAUUACCCGUGAGGCUUAACCAUACAACGCCAAACGCGUUUUG
RNAcentral lists this ribosomal RNA (1029 nucleotides) under Tritonibacter aquimaris. Its description in RNAcentral is "Epibacterium sp. SM1969 partial 23S ribosomal RNA". It matches the Rfam family "Bacterial large subunit ribosomal RNA", at positions 1923 to 2925 of the family's 2925-position model. The record is from RNAcentral. Lineage: Bacteria; Pseudomonadati; Pseudomonadota; Alphaproteobacteria; Rhodobacterales; Paracoccaceae.